GACGAACGCUGGCGGCGUGCUUAACACAUGCAAGUCGAACGGAAAGGCCCUGCUUUUGUGGGGUGCCCGAGUGGCGAACGGGGGAGUAACACGUGAGUAACCUGCUCUUGACUUUGGGAUAACUUCAGGAAACUGGGGUUAAUACCGGAUAGGAGCCCCUCCUGCGUGGAGGGGGUUGGAAAGUCUCGGCGGUAGGGGAUGGACUCGCGGCUUAUCAGCUUGUUGGUGGGGUAGUGGCUUACCAAGGCUUUGACGGGUAGCCGGCCUGGGAGGGUGACCGGCCACAUUGGGACUGAGAUAGGGCCCAGAGUGCAACGGGAGGCAGCGGGGGGGAAUAUUGCACAAUGGGCGGGAGUCUGAUGCAGCAGCGCCGCGUGCGGGAUGACGGCCUUCGGGGUGUAAACCGCUGUCGCCUGUGACGAAGCGUGAGUGACGGUAAUGGGUAAAGAAGCACCGGCUAACUACGUG
This 468-nucleotide ribosomal RNA is filed under the name uncultured bacterium. RNAcentral's name for it is "partial 16S ribosomal RNA". It matches the Rfam family "Bacterial small subunit ribosomal RNA", at positions 28 to 507 of the family's 1533-position model. The record is from RNAcentral.